This 21-nucleotide unclassified non-coding RNA is filed under the name Mus musculus (house mouse). Its description in RNAcentral is "oocyte_clustered_small_RNA10857". Lineage: Eukaryota; Metazoa; Chordata; Mammalia; Rodentia; Muridae. The record is from RNAcentral.
UUCACACGUACCUUAGGGAAA